Molecule: non-coding RNA, 456 nt
Organism: Xyrichtys novacula (pearly razorfish)
Lineage: Eukaryota; Metazoa; Chordata; Actinopteri; Labriformes; Labridae
Source: the annotation of a GenBank genome assembly
AUGACGAACCAGCAGCAGACGGAGGGAUGUGAGCUGAUCCCUGCCGGGCCGCUGUGCCUCACGGGAGAAUCUCAUCGCCACAGUGUGAAUGGGUAAGAAGUGAAUACACAGUUCAAUGAGCCAAAUGAAUUUAUUUUCUCCACCAGACGCUCGAGGACAUUUACGAGCUGGUCCAGCCGCUCGUUGAUCCCUGCGAUCCCCCUGAUGAUUUCUUCCUGCGAUUGCAGGACCGCCUCAGUGAGGACCCUUCCACUGCGUCCGGGUGGUCCGGCGGAAGCGCCGCGGCUGGUGGACGCUCCACCGCUUGUCGGCGCACUGGUGCUGGUGCUGAUGCUGGUGCUGGGUCCGGGGUGGCCCGAAUGCCGCUGGUCCUGGCCGACGACUCCGAGCCGGCGGACGGGCUGCCGCGGGCCGGGGUUCCGCAAGCCGGCGACACGGCCGACACAUUGAUUUCUG